Molecule: ribosomal RNA, 920 nt
Filed under: Betta waseri
Lineage: Eukaryota; Metazoa; Chordata; Actinopteri; Anabantiformes; Osphronemidae
Description: partial 16S ribosomal RNA
Rfam family: Bacterial large subunit ribosomal RNA (bases 158-659)
Source: RNAcentral
UUAUUAAUACCCCCAAAAGCAUUUAAUAUUUAAUUAAACAAACCAUUUUUCCCCCCAAGUAUGGGCGACAGAAAAGAAACAUUUAGAGCCAUAGAAAAAGUACCGCAAGGGAAUGCUGAAAAAGAAGUGAAACAACCCAGUAAAGUUUAAAAAAGCAGAGACUUACACUCGUACCUUUUGCAUCAUGAUUUAGUUAGUAAAAACAAGCAAAAGGUACUUUAGUUUGUCUCCCCGAAACUAAGUGAGCUACUCCAAGACAGCCUAAAAUAGGGCUAACCCGUCUCUGUGGCAAAAGAGUGGGGUGAGCUUAGAGUAGAGGUGAUAGACCUACCGAACUUAGUUAUAGCUGGUUGCCUGAGAAAUGAAUAGAAGUUCAGCUUUUUGGUUUCUUCCCCCCAACUCGCCUACCUACGACCGAGCCAAAGAAACCAAAAAAGUUAAUUAAAGGGGGUACAGCUCCUUUAAACAAGAUACAACUUCACCAGCCGGGUAAAGAUCGCACAUAAUCAAGGUAAAAUGUUUUAGUGGGCCUAAAAGCAGCCACCUAUAAAAAGCGUUAAAGCUUCUUCAUACCACCACCCUCAAAUUCAGAUAAUACACCCUAAACCCACUAAUUUUACCAAGCCGCCCCAUGCUGUCAUGGGGGUGAUUAUGCUAAAAUGAGUAAUAAGAAAAGUCACCUUUUCUCCCUGCAUUCGUGUAAAUCGAAACGGACCCCCCAUCGAACAUUAAUCGGCCCCAAAAAAAGAGGGCAAUGAACUAUCAACCCCGAUACAAGAAAAGCACCCAAAUAUCAACCGUUAACCUCACACUAACAUGCUUACAAGGAAAGACUAAAAGAAAAAGAAGGAACUCGGCAAAUACAAGCCUCGCCUGUUUACCAAAAACAUCGCCUCUUGAAAACUAAACAUAAGAGGUCC